Long non-coding RNA from Brassica rapa (field mustard), 1438 nucleotides. RefSeq lists it as uncharacterized. The record is from RefSeq and is a predicted model, not a curated record. NCBI's taxonomy places the organism in Eukaryota, Viridiplantae, Streptophyta, Magnoliopsida, Brassicales, Brassicaceae.
AACUCUUAAUUUUUUCAGGUCGAUCAAACUAGUUUUUCAAACAUGAUCUAUAUUUCAACGUUUUCUUUAUUUUUGCAGGUUGAUUAUGGCGACGAUGCAGAUUUUCCUAAGUGGUUACACAAAGUAAUUCAAUUUCCACUUGUAAAGGUCACCACAUCACCAUAUGUAUUCCACACGAGGCUAUACUUUUCACACAUAUGAGUAUGGUAGACAGCGAGCGACAAGCAACUAUGAAAUAUGUGUGAAAGGGAAAACAGAUUUCUACGGGAUCUUGACGGAGAUUAUUGAAGUCGAAUUCCCAGUGACAUUGACGCUGAAAUGCGUCGUCUUCAAAUGUGAAUGCUUCGACACCGUCGUCAACAGAGGUAUUCGAUUUAACAAAUUCGGUGUAGUUGAUGUCAAUGGUGGACGAAGGUACAACAAAUUCGAGACUUUCAUCUUAGCUUCACAAGCAUACCAAGUUAGCUGCCUUCCAUACCCUCGGAUGUGAGAAUCGGGAAUAAAUUGGUUAGCCGUGAUCAAAGUUACACCUUGAAAACGAAUCAUCAAUGGAGAAGAACCACCAUUGCAAGAAGAACAGAUAAAUGAAGUCGAGGAACCUGAACAAGAAAUUGAUGACAUCCUUCUCAUUGAUCCGCAUAAUCAUGAGUAUGAAGAUGUUACCGACGAUGCGACGGACAAAGCUGUUGAAGGCGAGUUUAAUGAAAAUGAUGAUGUUUCUAGUGAUGACGAGUAUGUCGAUGUAUCCGAUUGAUGUAUUUAUUUUUAAUAAGAUUGAUUUUCAGACUUAAUGCAUGUAAGGUAACAGGAGUUUAAUUUGUAUUAGAAAUAAGAGAUUGAGAUUAUAAGUGAAGGAAUUGUGGUUUCAGACUUAAUGCACGUAAGCACAAUUCGUCGUAAAGACCUCGUAAAAGGAAAACGCGGGGCUCGCUAUUUCCUCUUAACAAAGGCCUUGCUAUUUCCUCGUAAACGAACAACCCCAUCCGACCUAAGAGAAAGGUCAUUAAUUUUGUGGAUUAUGGGAAAGAACUUGGGUUCAUUGGUGCAUGCCAUUGUGGAGCAGAGUAUGAAUCGGAGUACGAAACAGAGUACUCGGAAUCGAUCGACAUCCCAACCUUUCCAUCGAUCGAUUCCAAUGUGUCAACGGUGACCGAUGACCGCAACAACACGCCACUCGACGUAAUGCACCCAGUUGACCAUUUUGCUUCACCUAAUUAUUGUUACCAACACUUUGCCUUCGAACCUCCAAGAAAGAGAGGACAUGAUGAUUAUUCAAUAGGCAGUUGGGCAGACAGUGGUUUCCAUGAAAGUUUUGCAGUUGACACUGUAAUUACUUCAUCUAAUGAGGAACAUACAGAGGAAUACGAUGAGGAUUAUUGGAAAGAACGUGCAAUAGAAAUGUCUUUGCAGGAUGAAAAACUUGAAACACAUAAGUUCA